ACAUGAAAACGAAAACAAGUGGAGCUGCUGGGUGCUUAUCAUCCAGCAAGCAAGGCAUCAAAUUCUUCAGCUUUCCAAGGAAUCCAGCACGGGCUGCAGUAUGGGCUGGAAAAGUUGGAAUACCCUGCAAUAUUCAUUCUGCUAGAAGGCUGCACAAUAAAUAUUUGUGCAGCAAACAUUUCCUGGACAGUGAUUUCACUACAGCCUAAAGGGUCCACCUGAACAGAGUGGCAGUUCCAGCAGAAAGCCUCAACGCUCUAGUGACUGCAGAUACCUAUCCCACUUGUAAAGGUAGACAUGAGAUCUGAUGGUGAAGUUGCAGGAUAUGCUAAUGCAUAUUUAAUAUUAUUAGCAUCUCCGUGACCUAAAUCUAUGCAGUCUGGUUAACUGUUACCAAUGCUAUGGAAGCAGGAUGUUCCCUCAACGGGUGAAUCAGCCGCCCUCGAAACAUUAUGCAAAGAAUCUCACAAACUGCACAAUAGCUCAUUAGACAGUAAGCUGCAUAGUUUCUGUUGUGAGAACCGAAAAAUCCACAUCAGUAUGUGUUUGUAAACACAUGUGUUUGUAUGUUUCCUUGCAGACUUGGGCAACUGGUCCCAGUUAGAUAGUGGUACAUUUGUUAAAAGUAGGGUGCUAUAACACUAGGAUUCUUGAAAGUGAAUUUAUUUACAACCCAACCAUCAUACAUGAUAAAAGUAGUUUCAUGGUUAUGAAACAUUCUGCAUUCUUUUACAACAGGAAUACCAAGAAUGUGGUACAAAGAGCUGAAGAAAUACUUCCUGCUGGGAGAGAAAGCAUGGUGAGUGUUUUGUACUUGUGUGCACAGGAAAGAGUUUUAUUUGUCAUCUGUCAAUUCUCAUUACCUAAGAAACUAAACGUUUUGUGUAAAGCUUAUGUUAGGUUUCAUAAUCCAUCUUGGUGGUUUUUAUAAAUGGUUUGUCACAUUGUAAGGGCAAGGGCACACCUAGGAAACUGACAACAAAAAUUUCCGAUAACUCUUAUCAGCCUGAGUUGAAUACAUGUUACUGAAUGGAGCAGUGCAAAUUGAGGAAACGGAAAUGGAGCUCACAGAAAGACUGAGAAACUCAAAUUCCAGGCAAUGUAGCAUACCAGUCUUAUAACAGUUGCGUUGCCUUUUAGUUCCCUAGUGUGAACUGUUCUGAACUGUGUGCCAAUGAUCCAUUUGUUUCUUAAGAUGGCACAAAAGAUUGAUGAAGCUGCUAAUUUUGUUUUUGUGCUGUUA
Molecule: long non-coding RNA, 1243 nt
Organism: Cryptotermes secundus
Lineage: Eukaryota; Metazoa; Arthropoda; Insecta; Blattodea; Kalotermitidae
Exons: 3
Source: RefSeq, a predicted model, not a curated record